CUGUAACACCCCCUGUGGCUGUGGUGGCCUGUACCAGCCUGCCUGUGUACGUGGCAAAGACUGGAUAGAUCCUAGAACAAUUUAGGGGUUAGUGUUGACAAGCUUGUUUCAUUGAUUAGAUGAAAGUAAUGAGAGAGAGAGAGAGAGAGAGAGAGAGAGACAAGGGCAAGCGUGGUCCUGGAGGAGGGAAGGUGGCACUGUUUAACAAGGUAAGGAGCUCAGCAGGAAGUGUAGUUUGGUGAGGGGGAGGGGGUGUUGAGUUGCAUGAGUCAAGCUGAAAUUCAAGAUGCUUUGAAGGCAUGCAAGUGCCUUCAAAUUCAAAUCCACUGGGCCAGAGUGGGGGGUGGGGGGAGACUGACAUGGAUAUGAGACAUGGAUUUGGGAGUCAUUAGCAUAGAGGAACGGCUGUAGAAGCCAGAAGAAGGAACGAGGAGGAGAACCAAGGAGUCAGAAGUGAAGGAGACCAUCUAGGCAGAGGAAAAAGAAGUGGGGGGUGAUGAGGAAGGGUGAGGGGAGAGGAAGGGGACAGAGAAGUAGGACAAAAGCCAGGACAAUGCAUUGCCAAAGAAGCAAGUGGAAGAAAGGGUGUUGGGAAAGAGGAAAUGGUCCCAUAAAUCUAGAGCUGCAGAGAGUUUAAGACAGGGAAGGAGGGAAAUACCAGACCAAGAAGGUGGAGCCAACAGUGAGGUUAUUGACAAGCUUGGGAAGAGCCCUUACCGAGUCGUGGUGGGGGUGGGGCCUGGAAACCAGAGGGUGAGAAAGUGACCCAUCCAUCGGGGGUGAGAACACAGAGAUAGUGAAGGGAGAAGCUCUUUCAAGGGAAGUUGGGGAGAGAAAAGCAAGUUGUAUCUAGAAGGGAAUGUGGAGCUGGGGGAGACCUGAGCAUGUUUAAAUGCUCCCUGCACUCCAUACUUUUUAUGCACAGAAGGAAAAGUGAAUAAAGAGGCUGAAGACUUUGAGAAGCUGCGAGAAGAGAGGAUAGCCCUUGGACAGGAAGAGAACUGCCUCCUCUCUUGCAACUAAGGGGAAGAAGCCAAGGACGAUUGCCAAGAUAGAUGUGAAAGUUACGCGGCAGAAAUUGAGGGCGUCACUAUCUUGUGCCUUAUUUUUUCAGAGCCACAUUGAAGAGAAGCUCAGUCUAGGUGGAUGAAUCAGCCUUUGGCCCCCAUCCCUCCGUUAGAACUGCUCUUGUCAAGGUCACCAUGACCUCCAGUGUUGCCGAAGGUUAAUCCUUAGCCCUCGUCUUACUUAUUAGCAUCACUUGACACAAUUUAUCAUUUCCCUUUCCCUGAAACGCUGUCUUUCCUAGCUGUACCAGGUAUAUUUUGUGCAUUACUUCAAACUGUCUGGGCCCCCCUUCUUCCUCUAACCAUUGCUCUGGGGAACAGUUACGUGAAGUUUUCAACCAGUCUUGUGCACGUAUGAACCGACCAUGUCUUGCCUCUCAUGCUUCCUGCCCUCGGGUUUCUCCAACACCAUGGAGUUGGACACCCUACAGAAACCAGGUGGAACUAACACAUGCAUGAUCCAGGAGCGGAAGGGAGUUAACAUUCCUUGGAGCGAUCUCUGACUAACCAAGGAGAGGAGCCAAAGAGUCGAUGCUUUUUCCAUUCUUUCCUGAGCAGACACUUUGGAGAUGCAUUUCCUAAGGCUUUUGUGAAGCUCCUACUGGAUUGAGUCAUCCAGAAUAGUUUUCCCCUACUCCUCUGUUUUGCUAUCCUUGUGCCUUACUCCUGCUUCAUGGAGUUCACAUUCCAAAAUAAACCACCUACAAUAGGCCUUUUUUUUUUUUUUAAUCAGUUUCUUCUUUAAGGGAGGCUAGGCUAAGAUUCUUGAUGUAAGGCAGAGGUAUAAACAAACCCAAAUGCAUAAACUAAACAGAUAUCUUUAUAGUUCUGUCCCUUCACAAACAGAAACUGGGUCUAAUUUUAAGCAAUCUCUUCUGUGGCUGUGUAAGAUGUAGGGCUUCCUGAAGUGCCAGGGAACCCUUCAGGAUCUCACUAUGUGCCUUAAAUUGAUAGUUAAUGACCCGAGCUUCUUAUUUAUUCCCCUUUUCCAGAUUUCUAAAAGUACUUCACAAAGGCCAGGCCACUCCAUAACCUAUCUAAUUAUUAUUGGCCCCAUAACGCUCAAGUGCCACGAAUAACUUUCGCCUGUAUCUACAUCCAGGGGGUUAUCACCACCCUACUUACCACAAACAAUGGGAUUCUUAUUCUCAUAUGGCUAGUGAAUGAAACCCAAAAUCCUGCCCUGAGGGUCUGCUUCCUAGGGUCCCUCUUGAUAACAGGAGCCUUGGCCUGUGUCUUUGAAAGACACACCCGAAACAAAAGCUUAUGGUAGGGGGCUUAUUUUGAAAUGUGAUAUCCUGGAAUCAGGAGUUAGGGAGAAGGAUGGAAAAACAGGGGAGGAGGGAAAAAUCACUCUGGAUGACUCAAUCCUGUAGGACCUUCAUAGAAAUCUAAUGAAAUGUGUCUCCAGACUAUUCACUCAGGAAAAACAUUUGACUGGAAGAAUGAUAGGAGAUAACCCCGGGGGAGUUGCUAGAGUUACACUCAACGAUUUAAAGCCGCAACACUCGUGGUGUCCAUUAUAUCCCUGUGCAAAAUGAUGGUGUUCCCUUCAGAUCCUCUUAACUCUCUCCCUCCUUUGUGCACUCCACCUCACAGAUUGGUGUGUUUUUGACUCUAACACCCAGCACUGGAAGUUCUUCCUUGGAGCACGGCCCUGGGGUUACAGAAAGCUGUAUUGCCUGCAGGUGAUAAGAGCUGGAAAUGCCUGAGAGUUUAUUUUCUCCACUAAGACCCCAACUAUGGGACAACCGAUCUGGAGCUUGGGCCAAAUGUAACAAGCCUAAUCUCAAGGCACAAUCUGAAGUUCACAAAGUAGAUGUCUGAAGUUCUGGACCAAGGUCCUGCCUUCGGUGACAGAGAACUGCUUGUAAAUUAGCUCCUGGAAGUGAUACUUGGUCCUUGGAGAGAUUGAGCACUUGACUGUGCUGUGGGACACCAAGGGACUGUGCACAUGGAACCGUCCGUCAUAAUCUAGAUCCUGUGUCGUAAGCUAGGUGGGCCUAGUAGCAAUCCAUUGUAUAAUGAAAUGGUACCUUUGGGAUCAGGACAAGUACAUUUGGGAUCGUGUCUGGAAGACACAAGCAUAUUGGAUAAACGUGGCAUUCACCUUUGCUGUGCCAACGCCCGUCCUUCAACUCACACCUAGGACAGCAGGGGGUGGAGGAGGGGAAUGUAUGACCUGUUUUCCACCGGCUAGAACUCACUGCAGAGGAAAGAGUUGACAGCUGGACUGACAAAAAGCUGGUCCUGUGCCUGCCAGGCAGUUUCUUUAUUUGGCCACCUGGUGCUGAGACAAGUCAGUGAAAUGGGGAUGGGUGGCGGGGGGGGGGGGGGGGGGGGGUAGAGCACAGUGGCAGAAGUGGAUCCUAAGCACGGGACAUGUAGCAUAAACUUCCUGUCAUCAAGUCUUACCUCGCUACUGCCAUUGAAACUUGAUAUUAUCCAUCUCUUUUCACUAGCAUAGAAGCUCCAUGAGUAUAGGUAUUUUCGUCUUUUGUUCAUCGUCCACCACCUGGAACGAUGCCUUGCAUAUAAUACGGUUUCAACAAAUGUUCAUUGAAUGAAUGAGUGAAUGAAUGAAUGAAUGAUAUGAUAUGAUUUGUUUAUGCAGCCAUCAAUAUCAAGAGGGCAGUCUGGGUGGGAGAAACAGCUUAUGCAGGGACCAGAAGGCAAGAAUUUACAGGCAUUGCUUAAGGAAUAAUGAUUUUUUUCCUUUAGAAUAAUUUGACUUGCAGGCUACUUUUUCUACAGAACCUUCAGUAAACCUCAUUGUACGACAGCUUACAAUCCGAAUGUUUUCAAAGGGAUGAAGGUGGAAUUCAGCCCGUAGGAAUUUCAUUUUGGCACAUACCAAAACUUUGCCCAACUUCAGAAAGGCUUCCAGAAUAACUCCUACCACUCCCUGACAGAACAUAUGGUGUCAUUAGACGGCUGAAUUGGACAAAAUACCCUGCUAUGAAGGGAAACCUAUCCUUUUCUUGUAUCACUCAACUUAGCUGAUACCAUUUCUCCAAACACACUGAUUAUUCACUUCUCCACAUUGCCUGGGCUAGCAAUUCCUUAGGCUACUAAUAACAGAACUUUAAUAAGGAUAAUCAAAAUAAUUUUUAGGGUUAAAAAAUUAAACACACAAGAGAAAAUCCAAGCUUCUAUAACUUAACUGUUUUCCAGAAUCCCCUAGCAGACGAUAGAUGUGAUAAGCCAUAGUAAAUUCUUUCAUGACAGCGUCUGUCAAAUGUUCUACGGCCUUGGAACAGAUCUGUCUUGUAUUUAUUUUUACUCAGGGACUACAUCUUCGGCAUUGUUCAGAAAUACCAGGUCAACUUGCAUUCCUUAAAGAACUACAUUUCUGUCAAAAAUUUAGCACACUGGCUCGAGACCCAUCAUCUGGUAAGAAGCAGAUUCUCUGUCCUCUAGGUUGGGUGGUGUUCCUCGAGUGGAGUUUGAGAGCUUGUCGGCCCUCUUGGAGGACGACGGGAUUGUUGACCUCCUGUAGCUAUGCCUCUGUUGGAGGCUGUGCUUUCAAACUGCCUUCCUCCUCUCUGGGCCCUUCUCCCUACCUGCCCCUCCUGUUUAACUCAGUUAAUUAAUCCCCAGGGCUCCUGAGAAGACUUACCACAUCUCCCCUUCCAUUCACCUUUUUGCAAGGCAGGAAGUACAAAUGAAUGUUGGCUAGAAUUGAUCAAUCCCGGGGUUAUUUCGUGAUGUAAUUCCAGACCCUUCCAAUAGAAAAAUGAAGUGGAAGGUUCUGAGGCCUUUAGCAGCCUAUUUGAGUCAGAGGUAUGGCAAAAUAAGACGGAACAAGGAUGAUAGGUAAGCUUUUAACAUUUCUCCAAUAGGAAGAAGUGCAUCUCAUCAUUUUUAUGGCAUUGGAUGGACAUUAUUGAAGCAAUAGCAUAUCUGUGUAUACCACACACGUUCUUAUGUACUUUACUUCAAAGGGAAAACGCAUGUCACUGUAAUGUGCUUAUUGGUUGGUAUGAUUCUCUUUACUUUGGCUAAGGCCCUAAAGAACAAAGGGCCAUCCUUCUGUAGCGAGGAGCCGUCAGUGGAUCAUUCAGCAUGGAAUAAUAAUUUCUUUCUGCAGCUAGAGCACUUGUGUGUAUUUUCGCUUGGUUACGUAAACUACUCUGGAAAUAUAAAAGUAAUUUGUAAAGGCAAAUUGUCCACUGUUGUUGCAAAGCACUCUGUGGGGCAAGCACAUAGCUCCUGCUUCCUGCCUAAGCGUUCUGAACAGAGACCUCCAAGAUCUCCAACAUUUAGAUCAAUCUGACUUUGUUUGUGGGUUUGGUUUGGCUGUGAGACAAAUACCUAACUUUUCUUCUAUUCCAUUCCUAUACCUCACAGACUGGAGGCAUUUCUCUUAAGCAAUAAAUAUCCACAUAGGGUUUUGUUUAUCAGUCAGUUGAACAAAUGGAAAGAUAUUGUUGGUUACUCAGUUACUUAUUAUUAACUGGCUUUAUUGUUAGACAUGGAGGAUAUUGUUAGUCAUGGACACACACACACACACACACACACACACUCAUGUCCAUUUUAAAGCUUUAAUGCUAGAGGUGAAUGUAGGGCUUUUGUAGUUUAAUUUAUUUUGCAAAUGGGGAGAUUAACUCCAACAUGAUGUAAAUUAUUUGCCCAAUGCGGGGUGCCUGGGUGGCUCAGUCGGUUGAGCAACCGACUUCGGCUCAGGUCACGAUCUCAUGGUUUGUGAGUUCGAGCCCCGGGUCGGGCUCUGUGCUGACAGCUCAGAGCCUGGAGCCUGCUUCGGAUUCUGUGUCUCCCUCUCUCUCUGCUCCUCCCCCACUCAUGCUCUCUCUCUGUCUCAGAAAUAAAUAAACAUUAAAAAAAAUUUUUUUAAUUAUUUGCCCAAUGCUUUAGAACUAAUUGGCCAUAAGGUCAGAAUUAGGACCCAGGCUUCCGGACUCCAGUAGUGUUUUUCUCCAAUCUAUGGGCAGGGAAAAUGGAAACCAUGACCUCAGAUGACUUAAUUCUUCAGAGAGCCUUCUUACAUCAUGAUGUUAUUAGACCAAUAAAGAUACAAGCAUUCGUUCUUAUUAUUGUCUCUCCUUUUUUCAUCUCUGCUUUUGGAUGUAUCUAAGUAAAUGUCCUCAGGACAGCCAUCAGAUUGUGGCUCCCUUCUUAGAUAUUGGUGGUAACAGCAUUCAAGGUUUAGAAUUUAAGGUAUAUGAGAUCCAGAAAUAUUCCUCCGGUAAGAGACUUUUGUAAGAAAACACAAUGAUUUUUGAUGUAAUAACUGUUAACAUGGCUGUUAUCAAACUUGACAACACACUAGUAAAAUUUCUACCUAACCAUAUCACCCAGAUAUUCAGUCUUCUUUGCAGAACAGGGCACAUUUGUAUCCAUUUUGGCCAUUUCAGAAACAUCAAUAAUUCUGAGUGUAACCAUGCUCAGUUUCCCUCAGUCAGAGAGUUGAUAGGUAUUUAAAGGUUGGGAAAUAUUGGGGGGUGGGGGAAAGGGAGGCCAUCCUCAGAGCUUAAGUGUAAACUUGACGGAGAGACAGAAAGACUAUUAGGAUAGACACCAAAAAGUUAAAGGAGAGUACAUGGGUGUGCAGACAUUAUUGUCCUUCGCCAACCAUCACGUUGAGUUUACUUAUCAAAAGUAAAAGAGCGGGGCACCUGGGUGGCUCAGUCAGUUGAGCGUCUUGAUUUUGACUCAGGUCAUGAUCUCACAGUUGUGGGAUGGAGUCCCGCAUCUGGCUAGGCACUGAAGGAGGAGACUGCUUGGGAUCCUCUCUCUCCCUCUCUCUCUGCCCCUUCCCCACUCACACGUGCUCUCUCUCUUUCAAUAUACAUAAACAAGCAUUCAAAAAAAAUUGAAGAGAAGGGCCAUCUACAUUCAAGGAAUAUUCUAUCCUUAAACUUCAAGAGGGGCGCCUGGGUGGCUCAGUUGGUUAAGUGUCCAACUUCCAACUUCGGCUCAGGUCAUGAUCUCACAGUGAGUGAGUUCGAGUCCCGCGUUGGGAUCUGUGCUGACAGCUCAGAGCCUGGAACCUGCUUCGGAUGCUGUGUCUCCCUGUCUCUCUGCCCUUCUCCUGCUUGCACUCUGUGUCUCCCUCUCUCUAAAUAAAUAAAUAAACAACAACAACAACAACAAAACUUCAAGAAAUAAAAUAUAUGGUGGUUGUGAAUUUAAAGAUCUUGGUGGCUAUGUUCUCAGAUGGUAUUAGUUUUGUUCAUACUAGGCUAUCUUUGUGAUUGCUGGGAACUUUCCAGAAAAUGUAGUAUUUAGGAAUUUCAGUAGGUCUUAUCUAUUUUCUCAUGAAAGAGCAGAUUAUGGUUAUUUCUUCAGGCAUGUAUGUUACAUCCUUCUAAAAAUAAACUACAGAAUUUCCUGUUAUGUAAAACAUAUAUAUUAAAAAGGGAGAAAAAUCCUUUUUCCAGCUAACAUUUUUCUGCUCAAACUUGUAUUUUUUCCUAGGCAUUCAUUCCUUUAUUUAUAUACUAAUUAAUUCCCCCCAAAAAGACAGUUUACCAUCGAACUAUGCUCUUCUUUAGCAAUAGUUAAAUCUCUAGUUUAUGAAAACCAGAACUUAUAUAAUCAGGCAAGAAUAUGUAACAAACCAGAAAGACUGAUGUGAGUUAGAGUUUGGAACUAGUUUUGGAGAUAGUUUUAUCAGAACAUCUAAAGCACAUUUUAGCACAAGACUCUAACUCCCGUUUUGUGAACGGAGAGGCACUCCACGUGUCAUUAAUUUUCCUGAAAGACAUUUCUUGCCCUAAAAUUUAUUUCUCUACCUCUCCGCUUUUUCCAACAGGUUCAAGAUGCUGACUUUGUCAAUAGUGUGGGGCCUGAGAAUCUGCCUUAUAAGAGAGCACCCUGGACAUUUCUAAACCAGGCUGCAGAGAGACAGGCACUCCCCAAGGGAAAUAGUCUCCUAACUCUUCUCCUCAAAA
Molecule: long non-coding RNA, 7981 nt
Filed under: Lynx pardinus (Iberian lynx)
Lineage: Eukaryota; Metazoa; Chordata; Mammalia; Carnivora; Felidae
Source: RNAcentral